RNAcentral lists this long non-coding RNA (930 nucleotides) under Marmota monax (woodchuck). The record is from RNAcentral. Lineage: Eukaryota; Metazoa; Chordata; Mammalia; Rodentia; Sciuridae.
AGCUUUCUUUUUUUUUUUUUGUAACAGAAAUCAUCAUCAUUAUCAUCAUCAUCAUCAUCAUCAUCAUCAGUCAUACCUCGAACAAGGAUGUAGGGAAGACCAAGGGAAUAAUGAAUAUAAGCCCUUGCUUCAUGUACUGCUUGGCACAGAGUAACUCCAUAAAUGCUAGUUUUGUUUGCUCCUUCUGUAUUUUAAGACUAACACACAUUGAGAUUUUAACAAGUAUUUGUUAAAUUGACUUGAUCCUUUACUUGAGUUACAAUACUGAAAAUAAUUUCAUUGGACAGAACCUCUACUCUUAUCAGUCUGUGCAUCCAGUGACACAUUGACAAGUUAUCUUUUCAGAUACUGAUACAUUUGUGACAAUAAAUAUACUGGCAUUGCACCUGUUCAGGUAUCUCUUAUACACACCAGAAAUGUGUAUGUACCAUCAAAGUAUUCUUGGUUAUCAAAGUACUAAUAAUUCAAUAUGAUGGAAAGAUGUUUGAUCUCAUUCACACCUUUGGGUUCAAAUUCUAGCUCUCCACUUACUUAUCAGUUAUGUGAUUGAGGCAAAUGUUACAAGCUGGUUAAUAUUACCUGCUCACAGGUUUGUUAUGAGGAAAUAAGAAAACAUGGAAAGAGCUUGUUCUUGGUUUUGUCAUUGCUUGGGUAACUUUUCUUUCUCUUUCUUUCUUUUCUUUUUUUGGCCUGGAAAUAGAACCCAGGGGUGCUUUACCACUGAGUUGCUUGUUUUUAUUUUUUUCUUUUGAGGCAAGAUCUCAUUAAGUUGCAGAAGCUAGCUUUGGACUUAUGAUCCUCAUACUUUAGUCUUCUAAGUCUCUGGAAUUAUUGGCAUGGGCCACGAUGCCCAAGAGUCUCAAGUAACUUUUCUAUCAAGGUCAAAAUGUAGUUGGUAUCCACAGUUCUCUCCACAGCUUUCUGAUUCUA